RNAcentral lists this ribosomal RNA (525 nucleotides) under Rhodotorula mucilaginosa. RNAcentral describes it as "partial large subunit ribosomal RNA". It matches the Rfam family "Eukaryotic large subunit ribosomal RNA", at positions 114 to 654 of the family's 3401-position model. Lineage: Eukaryota; Fungi; Basidiomycota; Microbotryomycetes; Sporidiobolales; Sporidiobolaceae. The record is from RNAcentral.
UUUAUAAUCUGGCACCUUCGGUGUCCGAGUUGUAAUCUCUAGAAAUGUUUUCCGCGUUGGACCGCACACAAGUCUGUUGGAAUACAGCGGCAUAGUGGUGAGACCCCCGUAUAUGGUGCGGACGCCCAGCGCUUUGUGAUACAUUUUCGAAGAGUCGAGUUGUUUGGGAAUGCAGCUCAAAUUGGGUGGUAAAUUCCAUCUAAAGCUAAAUAUUGGCGAGAGACCGAUAGCGAACAAGUACCGUGAGGGAAAGAUGAAAAGCACUUUGGAAAGAGAGUUAACAGUACGUGAAAUUGUUGGAAGGGAAACGCUUGAAGUCAGACUUGCUUGCCGAGCAAUCGGUUUGCAGGCCAGCAUCAGUUUUCCGGGAUGGAUAAUGGUAGAGAGAAGGUAGCAGUUUCGGCUGUGUUAUAGCUCUCUGCUGGAUACAUCUUGGGGGACUGAGGAACGCAGUGUGCCUUUUGGCGGGGGUUUCGACCUCUUCACACUUAGGAUGCUGGUGGAAUGGCUUUAAACGACCCGUCU